This 2738-nucleotide long non-coding RNA is filed under the name Buteo japonicus. RNAcentral's name for it is "lncRNA (ENSBJAG00000013767.1)". Lineage: Eukaryota; Metazoa; Chordata; Aves; Accipitriformes; Accipitridae. The record is from RNAcentral.
GUGGGCUGGGCCAGCAGUCCUUCCUGCUUUGUGAGGCAGAGAUCAAGACUCCUCUGCUACGUGGAGGGGAGAACAUAAUUUUCAGGGCAGUUUCUCUCACUGAAGUAAAGCAGACCAAACAGAUCCAACAAAGGUAAGCACUCCCCCACUGCUCACUCCGCCCUCUUUCCUAAUGAGUUUCCUGCUUUUGUGGGACAGACCUAGAAGAGCUGCAAAAGAGUAGAAGGUACACGAUCGUCUAGAAAUUGCUUUGGAUUCCAAACCUGGAAAAAUAAGGUUCCAGUUUCCCACGCAAAACUUGUACAACAGGAUCUUCCCAUCGUUUGCUACCUUCCCAUAUUCACUAGUUCCCGGCUUUUAGUUUCGAAAAAAAUCUGUUGUCUGCCUACAAGAAAACUCAAAAGGAGGAAGGGAGAAUUUUUACUGGUGUCCCAUCCUCAGUUCAGAAGGUGAAGGAGCAGGGACAAAAGAGCAUGUGCAAUUUUCCUUGUGAUGAAGAGAGAAGUUAAAACAUGACUGCUCCUACCUACCGAAACCUCUCUCUGAUGUCUGUCCCCAUAACUGCUCAUCUGUUCUCAACUGUCUGCUACCACCAUCUAUACAACCAUGUGGUUGGAGACACACUGGAAGAACAUCCGCCAAGCCUUGUUGCUUCUUUUCACUGCUGCUCUUCUCAUCGGGGUCACCAUGCUGGCCAUUUCAUCUAACAUCAACCCAGUAGGCUAUUUCUUCCUAGGGGUGGGGGGAGUGUGUCUGAUCGGCUAUUUGCUGAGUGUGUUUGUUGAGUGUUACCUGAGGAAUCAGCACCGACAUGACACAAAUGAGAUACCUCCAAACAGGCAAAGCCAAGCAGGGGUAAACGCUGCCUAUGAAGCACCCCCCUAUGAGGAGGUGAUGACCAUGUCGGUUCCAGCAAUAUGGACGAUUGCAUCCAAUCCAGGCUUAGUGCCCUCACCGCUGAAUGAGCCGCCUCCCUACAAUGUAGUUAUUGAAUCAUCUGCCCAAGAAGAGAUUAUGGUGGAGGCUCUCAGGGUGUCAGUGGCAGCAGACACAAGGCACACCUCUGAGACAGACACUGGCUCCAGGAUGCAGCUGCAGCUGGUGCUGCCCCCAAGACUGCAGCGGUUUGUUUCGGACAUCCAUGAAGUGAAGGGUAUUGAAGACAGGCUUGAGCCACUGGAGCCACUCACUCCACCACCUGCUUAUGAGAGUGCCAUCAAUGAUGAGGUCUUUGAAGAGGCUUUCCAGCCCUCCUCUGUAUUAUGAUUAAUUUCACCUUCCAUGAAUGCGGAACCAAAUCCUCACCCCAGUACAGGAUGCUCCUAGAGGGAAGGUGAAAGAGCUGAGAUUUUUCACGCCUGAAACCAUAAAAGUUUGUCCCACCAUUCUUUAAACCAGAGCUGAACUACAGACACAGCUUCUGAAGUCACUAGAAUCUUUUUGCACAAAAUACAAAUCAAUGCAAUACCACAAUGCUUUUUCUUGGCAGAUGCAUAAAAACACUGUGAGGAAAGUUGUGUUAUAUAUGGCAACAAUUUUCCAACUGGAGAUACACCUUUAUGGGGGAGGAGAGUGAAUCACGAGAAGUGACAAAGUUGCCAAAGGACCUCUGAAGAAGGACUGUGGGAAGCAGCCAGGAGAAGCUGCCUGGGAAAGGGGAGGAACAGAAACAGCACUAAGUAGGUUCUGCCUGUGCAUUACAAACAGCAGUAUUGUUGAGAGCUGUUCAGCCACCCUAAAAUCCGUAUGGAGAGACUGAGGCUGCAGUUCCCCAAGUUGCUGUUUUGCAGCAACACAAAUUUAUGGUCUGUGCUGUUUGAUGCUACUCCUCUGCUGCACUUGCUCCGCAUCCUCAGCUGUGCCGCACCGCAGUGUAACCGAGGGGAGGGUGGCUGUCUUCAUCUGGAAGCUGGCACCACCUGAUACCUGUCACUUGGGGUUGAAAAGCUGAUGCCGAGCAUGGCACCAUGAAAGAACUAUUGUUCACAAGGUUCUCGUCCCACACAGCCUGCAGUGGUGGACAAGAGGGAGAUAAUAGCAGUUUUUCUCCCACAAGAAAGUCCAGCAGUGGAACACAUACACAUAUAUGCAUCCUCUGCCUGGACUGCCAGUCUGCGGAGCUGUACAGGAGGGUGUAUUUCUCUGCUGUACUACAUCCCCAAGCAUUGAUAGCUUGAGGUACCUUACUGUCAUCCUGGAGAGUUCUCCAGUUCUCCGUAGCAAUGCUGUGCACGGAGGCUUCUCUCUGGACUCUGGAAAGGGCCGCUCUGUCUGACAAGGCCACAGCUGCGACGGACGGCACCUGAGAAUCACAGUCCCGAGGCAUAUGCAUUCAUCAUCAUGACAGCUCUAGGCUGCAGCCAGGUUCUACCUCCACUGAUCACUGAUCAGUGAUGCUGUGUGGUCGUUUAAAACGGGUGAGUUAAGCUGAUAGGCUCUGCAGCACUAAAGUGGUCUGCAGUAUGCAAAGAGACAUUCAUGUCUGGUGAAUGUCCAAAUAAAAUAAAAAAAGAAAUAUGGUGGUCCGAAUCUCCUUAUGAAGGAGAGCAGCAAUCAUCACAGCCUUGUCUCAUACGACUGUGUCAUCUUUAAUUCAUAUGAGGAACCGUCAAACCAUAGGCUAGAAGCAAAUAAAUUAUUUCUGUUUGAUUCUUUAUAGUUCAAACUAAAAAAAGACCUUUUAUGUUGUUUAUAAAUAAACAGGACCGCAUUAAAAAUACCUGGUGUCAUCACUAGUU